ACAGGGUGACAGGUGGUGCAUGGUUGUCGUCAGCUCGUGUCGUGAGAUGUUGGGUUAAGUCCCGCAACGAGCGCAACCCUCGACCUUAGUUGCCAGCAUUCAGUUGGGCACUCUAAGGUGACUGCCGGCUAAAAGUCGGAGGAAGGUGGGGAUGACGUCAAGUCCUCAUGGCCCUUAUGGGUAGGGCUUCACACGUCAUACAAUGGUCGGUACAGAGGGUUGCCAAGCCGCGAGGUGGAGCCAAUCCCUUAAAGCCGAUCGUAGUCCGGAUCGUAGUCUGCAACUCGACUACGUGAAGUCGGAAUCGCUAGUAAUCGCAGAUCAGCAUGCUGCGGUGAAUACGUUCCCGGGUCUU
Molecule: ribosomal RNA, 355 nt
Filed under: uncultured Thauera sp.
Lineage: Bacteria; Pseudomonadati; Pseudomonadota; Betaproteobacteria; Rhodocyclales; Zoogloeaceae
Description: bacterial SSU rRNA
Rfam family: Bacterial small subunit ribosomal RNA
Source: RNAcentral